Molecule: ribosomal RNA, 468 nt
Filed under: uncultured bacterium
Lineage: Bacteria
Description: partial 16S ribosomal RNA
Rfam family: Bacterial small subunit ribosomal RNA
Source: RNAcentral
GACGAACGCUGGCGGCGUGCUUAACACAUGCAAGUCGAACGGAAAGGCCCUGCUUUUGUGGGGUGCUCGAGUGGCGAACGGGUGAGUAACACGUGAGUAACCUGCCCUUUACUUUGGGAUAACUUCAGGUAACUGGGGCUAAUACCUGAUAGGAGCUCCUGCUGCAUGGUGGGGGUUGGAUAGUUUCGGCGGUUGGGGAUGGACUCGCGGCUUUUCAGCUUGUUGGUGGGGUAGUGGCUUACCAAGGCUUUGACGGGUAGCCGGCAUGAGAGGGUGACCGGCCACAAUGGGACUGAGAAACGGCCCAGACUACUACGGGAGGCAGCAGUGGGGAAUAUUGCACAAUGGGCGGAAGCCUGAUGCAGCAAGGCCGCGUGCGGGAUGACGGCCUUCGGGUUGUAAACCGCUUUAGCCUGUGACGAAGAGUGAGUGACGGUAAUGGGUAAAGAAGCACCGGCUAACUACGUG